RNAcentral lists this ribosomal RNA (428 nucleotides) under Bacteroidota bacterium. RNAcentral's name for it is "Bacteroidetes bacterium partial 16S ribosomal RNA". It matches the Rfam family "Bacterial small subunit ribosomal RNA", at positions 355 to 776 of the family's 1533-position model. Lineage: Bacteria; Pseudomonadati; Bacteroidota. The record is from RNAcentral.
UAGGGAAUCUUCCGCAAUGGACGCAAGUCUGACGGAGCAACGCCGCGUGAGUGAAGAAGGAUUUCGGUUCGUAAAACUCUGUUGUUAGAGAAGAACAGCGCAUAGAGUAACUGUUAUGCGUGUGACGGUAUCUAACCAGAAAGCCACGGCUAACUACGUGCCAGCAGCCGCGGUAAUACGUAAGGUCCGAGCGUUGUCCGGAAUCAUUGGGCGUAAAGGGUACGUAGGCGGGUAAGCAAGUUAGAAGUGAAAUCCUGUAGCUCAACUACAGUAAGCUUUUAAAACUGCUCAUCUUGAGAUAUGGAAGGGAAAGUGGAAUUCCUAGUGUAGCGGUGAAAUGCGCAGAUAUUAGGAGGAAUACCGGUGGCGAAGGCGACUUUCUGGCCAUAAUCUGACGCUGAGGUACGAAAGCGUGGGUAGCAAACAGG